AGCUUAAUUAUCAUGUUAAUCUUUUCCGCAGGAGAAGAUCACCAUCCCCAUACUACAGCCGAGGAGGUUACAGAUCUCGCUCCAGAUCUCGAUCCUAUUCACCUCGUCGCUAUUAAAACAUGAAGUUUAGAGGAAUUUCUAACUACAGCCCUUGAGCUGGGAUCACAGAUAUGUGGACAAUAUUUUUAUUGUCUAUUCUGUUUAAAAAGUGAGCAGUGCCUAGGGAAUAGGUGACUUUUACACCUUUUAUGAAGACUACUUUUUGGUGAAGUUAAAAUGCUGUUUCAUUCUGCAUAUCUGUGUAGUUUGGUGCUUUGUUCAAAGUUGUGUUUUUGAGAGGAGUAUGUUUUGCAUGUAUUUUUUUAGUCAGAAUUUUGACUGCUGAAAGGUUUCUAUUAUACAAAACUGUUCAUUUAAAGUUUUUUCUACUGAUUCCAGGAUAUUCUGAAGAUCAAACCUGUGUAAAAUGCUUUCAAAUAGUAAAAAAUAAUAAACAGUUUGAUUUUUACUUCCCAAAUCUGAUGCAUAGCCAAAGUAAUCUGUUUCUCCAAUUCUCAAAUUCAAUAGCUAAUUAACUAAGAGAAAAGCCAGUCAUCGCCCUUUUCCACAGCCUGCCAGAAUAUGCAUAGUAUGAAGCCCAUUAAUAAAAAGUUGUUUAUACUGCU
Molecule: non-coding RNA, 665 nt
Organism: Chelonoidis abingdonii (Abingdon island giant tortoise)
Lineage: Eukaryota; Metazoa; Chordata; Testudines; Testudinidae
Source: RefSeq, a predicted model, not a curated record